UUUUUUUUUUGAGACAGUUUCCCUCUGUCACCCAGGCUGGAGUGCGGUGGUGAGAUCUCAGCUCACUGCAAGCUCUGCCUCCCGGGUUCAUGCAAUUCUCCAGCCUCAGCCUCCCAGUAGCUGGGACUACAGGCACCCGCCACCACGCCUGGCUAAUUGUUUGUAUUUUUAGUAGAGACGGGGUUUCACCGUGUUAGCCAGGAUGGUCUCGGUUUCCUGACCUCGUGAUCUGCCACCUCGGCCUCCCAAAGUGCUGGGAUUAUAGGUGUGAGCCACCACGCCGGGCCGUAUGUGUGUACCUCUUUACAAGUCUUGCCUGACCUUCGCAUUUAAAAAUUACUGAAAAACUUAAGGAUGUAACUGACAAGAACUUUAUAGGUUUCUCCAAGUAAAAAUUUGGAAAAGUUAAGUGAACCCAUAAUGUGUUUUAUUUCUAUGAGUCCCACACUUGGAUUUUUAAAUGUGGGCAAAACAUCUGUAUGUUCUUCAGCCUGAUUUCCGUGGAAUCGUGAAUGAAACGUGCUGAAGUUGCCGUGCGGAUUUUGUUAUGUGGCGGUGACAAGUGGGGCUGGUCAUUAAACAACUGGAGGAACCCUGUCCUUUCUGUGCUCCUGUUGGACACUAGGCACGUGCUUGGGUGUUUUCUGUGUGUGUGGACAAGAUGACGACAGAAUUUCCAGAUUCACACGGUGGUAUCUUCUCCCUUUUCUGUUAAAACGUGUCUUCUGCUGCUUCUACAUAGACCAAGUGUUUCUUUCUCUCGCCUGUCUACAUAAACGCUGUUUAACAAAAACCGUAUUGUAGACAUGUGAAGCUGAAUUCCACAUGAUCAAGCAGAUAGAGAUGACUGAGUAUACUGUUUUGUGGAAGGAAGGUUUAAAAUGAUUUUUAGCUUUUUCCCUGAAAUAGGGAAUACUUUUAACUUUUUCCCUGAGAUAGGGAAUAAUGAAAUGGGAAAAUAAUUAAAUUUUCCCAUGUAAUUGUUAGAUUAUAUUUAAUUAUUAGAUUAUUCAUGUAUUGCAAGGGAAAAAGGAACUAGAUCACCCCAUGUACCCAAAUGAAAAUUUAAAGGGUAUGGGCGAGUUCAUUUGAACUCCUUUAAUUUGUUUUUGUUUGUUUGUUUUUGACAGUCUCACUCUGUUUCUCAGGCUGGGUGCAGUAGUGCAAUGACAGCUCACUGCAACCCCAACGUUCUAGGCUCAAGUGAUUCUCCUGCGUCAGCCUCCCCAACUGCUGGGAUUUACAGGCGUUAACCACCACACACAGCUUAUCACCUCUUGGAGACUAGCUUUGAGUUUGGGCAUUCACUGAACUAUAUUUUAGUUAAUUCUCAAAGUUUGUCACUGUUUAUCUUUAAUUUGCUAAAAAUCUACAUGUAUUGUAAAAUGCGUUACAUUUCCUUAGCAUUCACGGAUUCCCUGUUAGUGGGGCAGAGACACAGAAGGGCAGAAGGCGUUCGGACAUCAUCAGGGUUGCAGUUGAGUCCUUGCCCCGAACACACUGGAGCUCUGGGCUCUGUGGUCCCACGGGGGUCCUCUGUCCACUGAGGGGGACGGGUUACCUGGAAGGUCCCUCCAGCCUCUGCAAUUUUGCCCUUUUCAGGUUAACAUCUCAUCAUUGUCCUGGACAGCACUGCCUUUCGUUCACUGAUCCACGAGUGAACAGCUGGUCAGUGGCCAGUGCUGCUUCCUUCAGCUGGGAGGUGGUGAUGUGAUAACACUUCCGUGGAAUUUGGUUCUUGGUGUAUUAAGGGUUCAGUUGUAUGUUUAUUUUUAAUCUGCACCUCUGAAUUGGUCUUUUGAUUGCAAAGAGAUUGCUUACUGGAUUUGUUUCUGAAUAUUUGGUGGAUAACAGGAGAACCUUGCUUAUCUGUGUGUUCAUUUAGUGUGUUUUUGCCAGGCAUUUAUAUGGUUGUGUUAGCCCUCAGCCCACUUUCUGUGUGUGGUGGAGUCAUUGAAAUCAUUUAUGUGAAGUCUCUCCUCUUUUAAGGCCAGAGGACGUGGGGUGGUGUCUCCCUAAACUAGGGGGAAAUGGCAUUGUUCUGCCCUCCUCCCUGGGAAUGCUGGUGUUUCCAGGUCUCUGAACUUGGCUCCCACACUGGGAGAGUAGCUGUGGCUUCUGGAGCCCGUUUUGUGCGGGACUGACUCCUUCACUUGCUUUAUUCCCCACUGUCUUUGCUGCUUUAUGACGCAGGGAUGAGGGAGUUGGGCCCAGGGGCCUUGCCUGUGCCUGAAGGGCCCGAUGCAGAAAACUCCUCAUGGGAAGGAUGUUCCUUGAGGGCAGCUUUUGGAGUCUUUUCCUACUUUUAACUGAGAAGCAGCUAUUCACAUGGUUCUAUUCUGCUGGUGUGUUUCAAAAUAACUGGUGUAGAGUUGUGAAGAUGUCCGAGACACCCAUGAUCCACUCCGGGCCAGUGCAGGACAUUGAGCUCAGAAUCCUUCAGACCAUUCAGAUGCCAAAGAUUCUUGCUUGGUUAUUCUCAAACUUAUGAGAAUCUAAAACGCGAGCCACGGUAUGGAUUUUCUCUUGAGCCCCCAUGACUUUGCCUUGUAUUUUGGGCAUGAAUGACUUCAUCAAGGGGAAAGAAUUUGAGGAAGGAGCCUCUGAGGCUAGGAGGGGGUGGGAAGGGGCGGGGGGAAGAGGAGGGAAAAGGAGCUAUAGAGGGAGGAGCCAGGCUGGGGCUGGGGCGUCUCCCCAUGAUGCUCCCCCACCCCUGGCGCGAGGCCCCAGAGACUGACUGAUUUUCCCACAGGAAAUGUGUAUGAUUGCAUGUCUGUUUUGUGGGCUGGCCAUUUGGAUUGAGGGAAUGUCUGUGUUGUGAUUCCUUAUUGAUUCGAAGGUUGGAAAGGUUUGUGCUCAAUACAGGGGUCUCUUGGUGCGAUGGGAAAAUGUGAUCGCAGCCGCCUUCGGGGUGGGGAGAGCCCUCGAGGCCCUCAGUGGUGGCCGGCGUCAGCCUUCGCUUCCCUGGGUGAGCUGCCCUCAGGGUGGGAAGGGAGGUCCUCGGUGGUGGCCGCUGUUGGCCUUCGCCUCCCUGGGUGAGGGCUGCUCCAUCCCCGGCUCUCCGACUCCUUGCCUGGCACCUUCCUCGUUGGAGGCCGUGAUCCAUCAACUUUGUCCACGCGUGUCCUGCAGACUAAUGCUGACUGGAGGUUCAGGAGUGGUCAGAAGAGGCCAGAGGAGGCCCUCGUGAUGCGAAGCUAAACGUUUAAUGAUGGCGCUGUUGAGUGCAUGAGCCGCGUCAGCCCAAGAGUCUGGUGCCCAGGAGGCUGAUGCCACAUAGAAGACCUGCAGGUCGGUGGAUGUGAAACAGGCAUCGGACACGCUGUGCACCUUGGGACGCAUCUGAGAAGUGUGUGCUUGCAGCAGAUCUGAGGGUGACCCUGGGAGUUUGAAGAUGAGUGAGACAAGCCCUCUGUGUCUUGUGGAUUUUACUGUCCAGAGGGGAGACAGAUGUGGAUGGUGAAGGAGGCCCUAUCAGAGUAUUGAUUUGACAAGGGAAAUGGUGAGAACCAAAUGUGCCGCCCAGCUUGGGCCUCGCCGUUGGCAGAAGACCGUGGCGGGCAACAGACUGGAGACUCGGAGACCGAGGGGAGAAUUCUCAUGCCUUGACGCUGGUGCAGUGUGUGCUUCUGGACUCCUGCUGGAGGGAGCUGCCCCUUUGCCUUGCAGGCUUUGGUGCAGUGGAGACCUUAGGACCUGCCCCUCCUGGCACACCUGUGGGUGUGGCGAGCAGUGCCAGGGCUGAAGCACAGGUGCUGAGCCCGGAACGUGGGACGGGAGAGGCUGCACACGCCGGCAGGCGUCUUCUCCAGCAGCCGGGGGUUUCCGCAAGGGGGCGGGGCGUUGGUUUUCCUCCUUGAAUUUGGGUGGAGAGGGUGUCCUGGGGUGCUGUCUGCACUUGUGUUGCUCUGAGGUCAAGUUGUGGCCCCGAGUCCCUGUCCCUCUGCAAAGUGAGGGUUUGCCCAUUUUCAGGUCAGAUUUCCCUUGGGUCCGGGUCUCUAGGAGUGGGGCGCAUUCCAAGGGGGCGUGAGCACGGUGGACGCCCGUGGGCCUCUUCCUCUCCCCUCAGCUCCUGGGCUGUGUGUGAAGAGCUGCCCAGCGGAAUCACCCUCCUGCCUGGUGUUUCAUUCACCAGAAAUCGUUCUCACUGUGGACUCUUGAGUCAAAUGUAAUCCAGGAAUGGAACGUGCUGUUGCUGGAUGCCACACACAGCAUCAGGAGCUUAGUUGGGGAUUAUAUGAUCUUACCCCACACCUUAAAAGUAAAGACUGUAGUUGUCAGGCGUCUGAGCCCAAGCCAAGCCAUCGCGUCCCCUGUGACUUGCACGUAUAUACGCCCAGAUGGCCUGAAGUAACUGAAGAAUCACAAAAGUGCAAAUGCCCUGCCUGGACUUAACUGAUAACAUUCUACCAGAAAUAAGUGAAAAUGGCCAGUCCUUGCCUUAAGCGAUGAUUUUUGUGUGUGUGUGUGAAAUUCUUUUUCCAGGCUCAUCCUGGCUCAAAAAGCUCCCCCACUGAGCACCUUGUGACCCCCACUCCUGCCCGCCAGAGAACAACCCCCAUUUGACUGUAAUAUUCCUUUACCUAACCAAAUCCUAUAAAACGGCCCCACACUUAGCUCCCUUCGCUGACUCUUUGGACUCAGCCCGCCUGCACCCAGGUGAAAUAAACAGCCAUGUUGCGCUCACAAACCCUGUUUGGUGGUCUCUUCACAUGGAUGUGCAUGACAAUAGUUAAGGGGAUAUUGAAGUCUUUGGCAGCUCCAAGAGCUUUUUCAGUUUGUGUCGGGCCAUUGUAGGCAGAAGGAAAUACUUGCUUAGAGACUCUUACAGAAAUGUUCGGUGCAGUGCCAUUAACUCGUGGAAUAAAUGUGUAACUUUCCAUGGCAGACCUCUGGAAAGAGAUGCUCUUUGAGUGCACCCUGGCCUGCUCGCUACAAGAAUCGGCCGUGUCACCCCGCUUUCCGUGGGUCUGCAGGUGUGCGUGGUCCAUUGCCCUGCACUGUGGCCAUGGAAGGGAAGAUGAUCUGGAAUGCUGGCGACAGUUAUCGGUGCGUGUUGAUGUGUGCUGCUUUCUACAGGGGAGAACAUUUCUGUUUAAUAAACAUCUCAUCUCGAUGAUGACUGCAAGAUAUUUGAGUCUCAUUCAAUAGUGUUUCUGGGUUCCUUCUGUUUUUAUCUGCUUUCUAGCACUAGGCAAGUGAAGACAUGGAAAGUAAAAACCCAUCGAACUUGUAGAGACAUGGUGUUGUGGAGGAGCAGACUGUAGCCUCUGGCUCUGUUUAAAGAUUGUAGUAAACCUCUUACCUGGCAUAGUCAGGGUGUAAAUUAUCUUGUUUAAUCGAAAUGUGUAUGAGUCAAAGCUGGCGCCUGCAUUGUCGAUGAAAUACCAGAUUUUAAGGGAACAUGUCAAUGUGCUGUAAGAUACCAACAAAGUUCCUCACUGAGGUUCGGCGCGGGUUCGGAGCAGCUGGGCCUUAGGUCACCAGGGUCGUCUCUGGGAGCAGAUGCUCAGUGUGGGCAUUAGUCACUUAGCCUUUCCAGAGCCGAGGAGCAGCUCUCUGUGGUGGUUUUUGGAACCUGUAUUUUGAGUCAGUUUGUCCCACUUGACUCGAAGUUGCCGCGCGAUUUCAGACCUUUGCCUCCACCGUGCGCUCGUUUUCUUGUCCCCUGAUAACUGCCUCGGUUGCCCCGGCCUGACAUUUGAGCCUCGUCGUUCAUGGACACAGGUUCCGUGGUGGGGCAAAUGCCGCGACUCCGGCUUGCACAGUUCUGUGACUCUCACCAUGGCUUAUCACAUCACUCCCGGGAUCUCCCGUUUAGAGGAAGAGUGUCCCUUUCCUGCAGGCCCUGUGUGGUGUGGAAACCACCCCUACCUACCUUUCUCCUGUUUGAACUGUACCGUGAAGCUAUUUCUGUUCUAGUCAACCGUCAGAAUUUAAGGAACAGUGAUUUAUGUAACUUAUCACACGCUUCUGAGCAAUUCUUUAUGAAUUUCAUUCUGUUGUGAAAUUAUUGCAGUUUUCAUGGCUAUGCUGGUCUCAUGUUGUGGCCCUUGAAAUGAAUUCCCUUCCCCAUUGUGUGUUAAGGUUGUGCCUGGGAGCUGUUGAGGCCUCACCUCUGCUUAGGGCAGUGGCUUUGCUCUCCUGACAACAGGAAGAAUCUUAUUUAGAGCACUUCUAAUGUAGUUUUUGCUUCCAGACAGAGUUACUUUUUUUCACAGAGACAGCCACUAAAGUCAUAAAUUAUGCUCAGGAUGCACACACACGGGUCAGCUGACAGAGUGGAGUCCAGAACAGAUCCAAAGAUGCAAAAGCAGUUCAGUGGAAUUUGAGUCUUUUCAACAAAUGGUGCUGGAAUUAUGGGACAGCCAUAUGCAAAAGAGUGAAAACAGGGAGAAAUUCCUGUAUGAAAAUUAAGGUGGAUCAUAGCCCUGAAUGUAAAAUACCAAACUACAAAACCUGCAGAACAAAGGGAAAUUGUGGAGACCUAGGGUGAGAGCUCUUAGCCAUACCAUGAUCCAUAAUCAAGGAAGAAAACAAGUAGGUAAGACUCAUCAAAAUUAAACUUCUAAUAUAAAAGACACCCCUAGGGAAUUGAAGAGACACAUUUUCGAUAGAUGGGGAGAAGAUGUCUACGAACCAUGCAGCCGGCAAAGGACUCGUAUCCAGAAUGCACAGGACUCCCACGGCUCAUGACAGAGAACAAACCACCUGACUUAAAAGCGGAAGAGACCUGAACAGAUGCUUCGCUGAGAAGGACGGGAGGAUGGCCCGAAAGCAUCUGAAAUGACCUUCAGCGUGACUGGUUGCACCCAGAUGUGCACCGAAGCCGCAGUGAAUUUGUUCACACCCCUGCUGGAGCGCCUGACUAAGGUCUUCCGACAGCCCCAGGUGCUGGUGAGGACCGGCAGUCGGGACUCCUGUGCGAUGCUGGGGUUCAGCACGGUGCAGACAGCUUGGCGGUUUCUUACAAAACUGAACUCACACAAACGUGGGUCCCAGUGACCCCAAUCCUGGGUAUUUACCCUAGAGAAACAGAAUCUGAUGUUUAAGAAAAACUGUGCCCAGAUGUUAAUAGCGCUGUCUAUAGUUGUCCAAAACAGGUUACAAUGUGCCACAGCCAUAUGUGGAAUAAUAAAUACCCAGCAGCCCCGAGGCCUGGCUGUUGAUCACAGGACACCCUGGGUGCACCUCCAAGCACGAUGCCCAGGAAAUUGUGAUUUUGCGAGUGUUUUGCCACAACGCUCGCAAAAGAUAGACCCGAGUCAUGGGAGGACACGGAGAGGGUGGUUGCUGAGAAUGGGAGGGUAUGCUUAUGAGGCCCCGUGAGUGGGUUUGGGGCUGUUGGACUGUUCUGCUUGUGUGAUGAUGAUUAUGGGAAUAUUUGUGCCGAAAUUCACAGAACUGAACACUGUCCACUUUACAGUAAUUUUUAAAAAGUGGUAAUAUGCUCAUUUUCGGUACUGUUUUUAAUGGAAGAUGGAGUUUGCAGAUGAUUUGUCAGGGCAAGCCUGUCUCAAGAGUUUGUAGACGAUUCGUUAGGGGCCUAUCUCAGGGCCCUUGGGUUGGGUUGGGUUGGGUUGGGUUGGGUUGGUUGGAAAAGCCUUCUCUGUUGUGGGCAGUAGUACGGGGCGUGGAAAGGAUAUUGCCAAGGAAACAUGUAGAAUCCUUUGAGGAAACGUGUAUUUCUAACUUGCUAUAAGAUAGAAUUGGAAAUUGUAAUGGUUUUGUUUUCUAGAGUCUUGGUAGAAUAGGGAAGACAGUGUAAUAAAAGCUAAUUUUGAAAUGAAGAAUUUUAAAGAUUUUCAACAGCAAUUGCUCUAGGAAGUCACCCUGGAAAUGUUUUUAAAGAUGUUCAAUAGCAAUAGCUCUAGGAAGAGUCACCCUGGAGUUGCUUCUUGAGCAUUGGUUUCCUGGCUGUAUCUUCCAACUUUCAUUUUUAAGUUUUGCUGUGAGUUGGGGAUGUGUGGGAAUAGCCAUCCCAGCCCUGCAGGGGGGUGCAUGUGCCCCGAGGCCUGAGGCACUGUUUCAACCUAGCUUGCAACAUGGGGACUCUUGUCAGUGGCUGGAGUAAGAGUACCAGCCUGGCAGGCUGGGGGGAGCCCCAGGGUGGUCUGGGCACUGUCCUCCCUGCCUGCAGGAUGGCAGCUGGAGGAGCUCGAAGGCUGCCUGCCUCGUGGCUGUCAGCGCAGCAGCCCCUCCUGGCCCUGGAGCAAUCUUUGGGUCCAUGAGUCUCUGCACCGGGACUUGCCUCCUGGGACCUCCGCCACUGUCCUGAGGGCCCUGGUGCCACUUUCCCGGUGGGACCCAAGCCUCAGGCAGCUGCGACCCCAGAUUCGGUUGCUUUCCCUGCCGUCUCAUUGCAGCACGAGUGCUCAUCUCACUCAAUGUAGAACCUCAGGUUCCUUCAAGAUCCCCAGAGAUGGAAUCUCCCAAUUUAACAAGAUAGUUGGUGACAAGAUUUGAGCGGCACUGAUUUAACUCAGCUUCCAGAGUUAAGUUCCCAAGACACAGUCCUGCUCCUUCCCUGGCCUCAUCCUGUGUGGCUGGUGUGGAUGCGGGGUUUCCGGAGGGUGGGGCUGUGGCAGGUCAGCAGCCAGGGGGAUGGCUCAUUAUUGAUCGCUCAAUGCCUUGAGGAUAACUAGGAUUAAUGACCUUUAUAGGGCUGUAGGUUUGGAGUAUAUAUAUAUGUGUGUGUAUAUAUAUACAUAUUUAAACGAGGUGGACACGGUUAUCACUGCAUUUUUCUGACAUGAAACUUGGAGAGCAGAGGGUUUAGGAAACUCCUGAAGCCACACUGUCAGCGGGACUCGGGCGGUCUGGCCUUAGACCCUGCACUGUUUGCCCCUCACCACGCUGUCAGCAGACCCGGGUGGUCUGGCCUUAGAACUCACGCUGGUCGCCCCUCCCUGCCACGUUGUGGGGUUUUUCCUGCUUCUGGGCAGCAUUUGAUAGCUUGUGAAACAAGACCAAGACUUACUAUGAGUGGAUUUGCCAUUAUCUGAGAUCCAGAACGUUUCCUGGACCUGGCGUUGCCGAUGUCACGUAAGGGAAGGUAAAAACAUUUUCAUUGUGGUCACUGGGGCUCCUGAAAUGGUAUUUUUCCCAGUGAAAGUUUACCAUAAAAAUCUGUUAACUCAAUACUAUGUGAACAGGAAGAAAUGUGUUGGGCUCUAGUUAAAUGUCUCAGAGCCACAGAAGUAAAUGAGGGCACCUUCCGAGCACAGCCUCCCGGAGGAGGCCAAGGACGUUUGUCUGGAGGGUUUGCCAUGAAGCAGGACUUGGGCAGGGCUGGUCUGCCUGGGGAGGCCUCUGCCAUGAUGUAGGUUAGGUGAAGUAGUUGACGGGUGGUGGCGUGAGGUCGGUGGUCCCCGAGGAAGCCCCUAGCAAGGCCGGUUUCCGUGGGAUGCAAAACUGCCAUUCAGUGGCUGUAAUCCUGGCUUCACGGGUCUGACAUACAAUCCUGCACUUGGAUACUUGGAUCCCAGCCAGGGCAGAUGGCCCUGAAAGGACAUUCGGACUGUGAUGGCUGCACCCAUUUUCAGCAUCUGUAGGGUCUCCUGUGUAUGUCUGUGUUUCCAUUUUCUUUCAGCACAAUUUCUCCCAGCGAAGUCGUGAGAAAUAGAAGGAAAGGUGGAAUGAAGAUGUGAUUGAGGAAAGUGUGGUGUGGUCUUCGACCUUAUUUUGCCUUGGUUGGUGCUCAAGAACUCCACCUGACCUCAGAGCUGAGCGUUUCUGCCAGGAAGUCCUGCCUUUUAUCCUACCUCGAGGCCUGUUGAGACACUCCAAGAAGCUUCGUUAACAAAUUGCCUUUUCCUUUUACAGCAGUUGGAUAUAUUUGCAGCAAAACAAAGGAAUAACCCCCCAAUAUGGUGAUGAAAUGCAUUUAAGUAUAGAUAGCAUUCAGUCUUGAAGGGCCUGGGAUUUUAAUCAUCUUUGGGUCAUGUAACAAGUGGUGUUGGUGAUUAAAAUCUCCUGACAGCUUUGUUCUGCCACGUUCCUCAGUUUUGAAUGAUGAUCUUCCUGGUGUUGUACCUUGGGAGGGGCGUUUGUGUCAGUAGAGAGCAGAGUGGUGGUUCCCAGAGGCUGCGAAAGGACAGAGGUGAGGCCCCUGAAGGACACUGGUCUUCCUGGUUUAGGGGUUUGGGGCUCAGCCACCUUCCUGUGUCCGUGUAAAUUAUACCCAGGAUCAUUUUCACUCGCGCCACUUUAGUUGAGCAUUGGAGCUUCAGGAUAUGUGUGCCCACGUCACCUGGGCCGUGAUCCUGGAGUUGGGUGAGACUGAUUCCCGGGUUUAUAGAAUUACUCUGGGAUUAUUGAAAACAGAAGCACUUGAGGCAUUCAUAAUGCUAUUUCCUGAACGUAAUUUAUGUUCAGUUCUUCAGAAACGUUUAUCUGAGGAAGCAUCUAUAAUUUUUGUUUUCUGCCACUCAGUGCUAGAAAGAAUUGUGCAACACUCAAGUGAGUGGCAUUAUUCCUCUCCCUCCACCAUGCAAGCAAGAUUAAUGGUACCUCUGGCUCCCCUCAAUCUUCUCGUCUGCAGGGUGCCUGGCGUGGCAGUGUGCUGCCUUCCGUCUUUUUGGGGAGAAUUAGUCGUGUUUGUGUGUACUGCUCAGCUCAGCCUGGUGCGGUUGUGUGAGUGAGGAGCUUGGAUGCUAGGUGACCCUCCCAGGCCUGCCUCCCACCUCCCUAGGCCUUGUUCUAAACUGACAGAUAAACAGUGUGUUUUGGAAGAGGACAGCAGCAGGGCAGGAGAGAGUUUGUUCAGACUUUCUCCUCGCACUGACGUUUGAGCCUUCAUCCAGCCUGGGCACUUCUACAGAGCUGCGUUUGUGUGUUGCAAACCAUUCCCUCCCAGUAACCGUGCUUUCAGAGGUUUGGAAAUGUGACUUAACUCAUCUUCAAUUUAAAGCGUACUAUUAAAUUUUAGUGUUGAAACUGAUGUAUUUUAUGGCCUUUAUUUGAUUUCUCUUGAUUUUUUUUUCCCCAUAUGAGACGUGGCAUCUUAAGGGAGACAGCCUGGUGUUGGCCGCCUUUCCUAAGGAUGGAAGUGAAUUCUGAAAGCCCUUUAUGUAGGCAGCGAAAUAAUCAGGGAACCAUUAUUAUAGCUAUGUCUGUCCAUGUAAAGCGAGCACGACUCAUAAGCAGAAAAAAGUGCAGCCCGGGGCCAAGGUGAGCCCUAAUGCUGCCUGUGCCUCACCUCCCUGCCAUGAGGAACGGAAGUGCAAGCGCAGGUGGUUGAGUUAGCCUCCAAGCCCAGCCUG
Non-coding RNA from Macaca mulatta (Rhesus monkey), 11264 nucleotides. Lineage: Eukaryota; Metazoa; Chordata; Mammalia; Primates; Cercopithecidae. The record is from RefSeq and is a predicted model, not a curated record.